This 995-nucleotide long non-coding RNA is filed under the name Musa acuminata (dwarf banana). Its description in RNAcentral is "long non-coding RNA (MACU_LNC000356)". The record is from RNAcentral. Lineage: Eukaryota; Viridiplantae; Streptophyta; Magnoliopsida; Zingiberales; Musaceae.
AUCCUUGGCUGUCACUGUGUUUGGAUCUGCACAUGGGAAAGAGCAACUUUGUUACGGAACUCAUUGGAUGCUCACUUGUUUUAACUCUUCUCUUGAUUGACUCAGUCCUAUGGACUAGCUUAAAGGCUUCUUCUUCUUUUUUUUACCCAACCUUGCUUGAAUCCACACUGCUUUAUAACUUGGAUCUGGAACAGAAUAGAGUAACAUGCUACUGUCAAUUAGACCCACCCACUCCCACCUGCAAUCUACUGAACAUGUGAUGAAAGAUGCAGAGAAUGGUGGAGUAGCCACAUAAUAUCUUAUGCAAGCCCUUUGACCUAGUUGGUUGCCUUAGAUGCUGUCAAGAUUUCAAUACAAUAUGAUGGAUAUGUUGUCAGAAUCUGCUAAUGUGAAAAAAAGAAAGAAUUGAAUGUCAGAAGGAUAUCAGCUUGCUCCCUUUACCGGCUUUAUCAUAGCAUUUGUUUGACUAAUCUCUGUUGAUGUGAGACUUUGAACACUUCAUUAUAUUGUAAACUUUUGUUCUCCAGUUCAAAAGUUCAUUGCAUGUCUCCAAGUCCAACUUGACUGUCUGUUGGUCUCAUGAAAGAUUAGAAUGGAUGAUGAGUCCAGCAACUCUACUUCUCAUCUUUGUUGCAUGCUAUGGUUAUAGGUGUUGCAUCCAGCAGUGCUAAUUCUUGUGUGGCAAGUGCAUCCAGUAGAAUUGGUUUCAGUGGCUGUCAUCUGAUAUGAACACUGUUGAUUGCUUGUAUUAUAGUCCAUUAAUUAGACUGGGGACUUGAUGACCAUAUACUCUUACAAGUAGAUUGAGACACUGAUAUUUGUUCAUUCUCAGCUGCUUGGUAAAAAUAUUUAGCAGGAAAAUUUCAGAAAAAUGCAUCUAUCAACUAUCUUACAUAAAGAUGAUCGUCGGGAGAACCACACUGCAAGUAUUUUUAUAAAUAAUUACCUGAUUAAAUGAGAUGGUCAAGACUUGCAUCAUCCUUUGAUUGUUCUCC